RNAcentral lists this non-coding RNA (179 nucleotides) under Paenisporosarcina sp. HGH0030. RNAcentral describes it as "Bacterial small subunit ribosomal RNA". It matches the Rfam family "Bacterial small subunit ribosomal RNA", at positions 1 to 172 of the family's 1533-position model. Lineage: Bacteria; Bacillati; Bacillota; Bacilli; Caryophanales; Caryophanaceae. The record is from Rfam by way of RNAcentral.
AUUAUGGAGAGUUUGAUCCUGGCUCAGGACGAACGCUGGCGGCGUGCCUAAUACAUGCAAGUCGAGCGGAAUGAUGAAGAAGCUUGCUUCUUCUGAUUUUAGCGGCGGACGGGUGAGUAACACGUGGGCAACCUACCUUGUAGAUUGGGAUAACUCCGGGAAACCGGGGCUAAUACCAA